Molecule: ribosomal RNA, 3088 nt
Filed under: Salmonella enterica subsp. enterica
Lineage: Bacteria; Pseudomonadati; Pseudomonadota; Gammaproteobacteria; Enterobacterales; Enterobacteriaceae
Description: 23S ribosomal RNA
Rfam family: Bacterial large subunit ribosomal RNA
Source: RNAcentral
GGUUAAGCGACUAAGCGUACACGGUGGAUGCCCUGGCAGUCAGAGGCGAUGAAGGGCGUGCUAAUCUGCGAUAAGCGCCGGUAAGGUGAUAUGAACCGUUAUAACCGGCGAUACCCGAAUGGGGAAACCCAGUGUGAUUCGUCACACUAUCAUUACGUGAAUACAUAGCGUAAUGAAGCGAACCGGGGGAACUGAAACAUCUAAGUACCCCGAGGAAAAGAAAUCAACCGAGAUUCCCCCAGUAGCGGCGAGCGAACGGGGAGGAGCCCAGAGCCUGAAUCAGCAUGUGUGUUAGUGGAAGCGUCUGGAAAGGCGCGCGAUACAGGGUGACAGCCCCGUACACAAAAGCGCAUGUGCUGUGAGCUCGAUGAGUAGGGCGGGACACGUGGUAUCCUGUCUGAAUAUGGGGGGACCAUCCUCCAAGGCUAAAUACUCCUGACUGACCGAUAGUGAACCAGUACCGUGAGGGAAAGGCGAAAAGAACCCCGGCGAGGGGAGUGAAAAAGAACCUGAAACCGUGUACGUACAAGCAGUGGGAGCCCCACCACUAAGCCAGUGGUGAACUCCACAUACGCAUCCUUUGCUGAGGAUACGGUUAACGGAGCGAAAGCGACGUUCAACCGCAAAAGAAGCAGAGGGGGCUUAGUGGUGGGGUGACUGCGUACCUUUUGUAUAAUGGGUCAGCGACUUAUAUUCUGUAGCAAGGUUAACCGUAUAGGGGAGCCGGAGGGAAACCGAGUCUUAAUUGGGCGUUAAGUUGCAGGGUAUAGACCCGAAACCCGGUGAUCUAGCCAUGGGCAGGUUGAAGGUUGGGUAACACUAACUGGAGGACCGAACCGACUAAUGUUGAAAAAUUAGCGGAUGACCUGUGGCUGGGGGUGAAAGGCCAAUCAAACCGGGAGAUAGCUGGUUCUCCCCGAAAGCUAUUUAGGUAGCGCCUCGUGAAUUCAUCUCCGGGGGUAGAGCACUGUUUCGGCUAGGGGGCCAUCCCGGCUUACCAACCCGAUGCAAACUGCGAAUACCGGAGAAUGUUAUCACGGGAGACACACGGCGGGUGCUAACGUCCGUCGUGAAGAGGGAAACAACCCAGACCGCCAGCUAAGGUCCCAAAGUCAUGGUUAAGUGGGAAACGAUGUGGGAAGGCCCAGACAGCCAGGAUGUUGGCUUAGAAGCAGCCAUCAUUUAAAGAAAGCGUAAUAGCUCACUGGUCGAGUCGGCCUGCGCGGAAGAUGUAACGGGGCUAAACCAUGCACCGAAGCUGCGGCAGCGAACGUAUCACUUAAAGCGAUUCAGCGGGUUACGAUUGACGGAGCGAAGCGACGUCAAAGCGUAUACAAAGUCGAGUCGGUUUAAGGAUACGUUCGUUGGGUAGGGGAGCGUUCUGUAAGCCUGUGAAGGUGGCCUGUGAGGGUUGCUGGAGGUAUCAGAAGUGCGAAUGCUGACAUAAGUAACGAUAAAGCGGGUGAAAAGCCCGCUCGCCGGAAGACCAAGGGUUCCUGUCCAACGUUAAUCGGGGCAGGGUGAGUCGACCCCUAAGGCGAGGCCGAAAGGCGUAGUCGAUGGGAAACGGGUUAAUAUUCCCGUACUUGGUGUUACUGCGAAGGGGGGACGGAGAAGGCUAUGUUGGCCGGGCGACGGUUGUCCCGGUUUAAGCGUGUAGGUGUGUGUUCCAGGUAAAUCCGGUUCACUUUAACACUGAGGCGUGAUGACGAGGCACUACGGUGCUGAAGCAACAAAUGCCCUGCUUCCAGGAAAAGCCUCUAAGCAUCAGGUAACAUCAAAUCGUACCCCAAACCGACACAGGUGGUCAGGUAGAGAAUACCAAGGCGCUUGAGAGAACUCGGGUGAAGGAACUAGGCAAAAUGGUGCCGUAACUUCGGGAGAAGGCACGCUGACACGUAGGUGAAGUGAUUUACUCAUGGAGCUGAAGUCAGUCGAAGAUACCAGCUGGCUGCAACUGUUUAUUAAAAACACAGCACUGUGCAAACACGAAAGUGGACGUAUACGGUGUGACGCCUGCCCGGUGCCGGAAGGUUAAUUGAUGGGGUCAGCGCAAGCGAAGCUCCUGAUCGAAGCCCCGGUAAACGGCGGCCGUAACUAUAACGGUCCUAAGGUAGCGAAAUUCCUUGUCGGGUAAGUUCCGACCUGCACGAAUGGCGUAAUGAUGGCCAGGCUGUCUCCACCCGAGACUCAGUGAAAUUGAACUCGCUGUGAAGAUGCAGUGUACCCGCGGCAAGACGGAAAGACCCCGUGAACCUUUACUAUAGCUUGACACUGAACAUUGAGCCUUGAUGUGUAGGAUAGGUGGGAGGCUUUGAAGUGUGGACGCCAGUCUGCAUGGAGCCGACCUUGAAAUACCACCCUUUAAUGUUUGAUGUUCUAACGUGGACCCGUAAUCCGGGUUGCGGACAGUGUCUGGUGGGUAGUUUGACUGGGGCGGUCUCCUCCUAAAGAGUAACGGAGGAGCACGAAGGUUGGCUAAUCCUGGUCGGACAUCAGGAGGUUAGUGCAAUGGCAUAAGCCAGCUUGACUGCGAGCGUGACGGCGCGAGCAGGUGCGAAAGCAGGUCAUAGUGAUCCGGUGGUUCUGAAUGGAAGGGCCAUCGCUCAACGGAUAAAAGGUACUCCGGGGAUAACAGGCUGAUACCGCCCAAGAGUUCAUAUCGACGGCGGUGUUUGGCACCUCGAUGUCGGCUCAUCACAUCCUGGGGCUGAAGUAGGUCCCAAGGGUAUGGCUGUUCGCCAUUUAAAGUGGUACGCGAGCUGGGUUUAGAACGUCGUGAGACAGUUCGGUCCCUAUCUGCCGUGGGCGCUGGAGAACUGAGGGGGGCUGCUCCUAGUACGAGAGGACCGGAGUGGACGCAUCACUGGUGUUCGGGUUGUCAUGCCAAUGGCACUGCCCGGUAGCUAAAUGCGGAAGAGAUAAGUGCUGAAAGCAUCUAAGCACGAAACUUGCCCCGAGAUGAGUUCUCCCUGAGACUUAGAGUCUCCUGAAGGAACGUUGAAGACGACGACGUUGAUAGGCCGGGUGUGUAAGCGCAGCGAUGCGUUGAGCUAACCGGUACUAAUGAACCGUGAGGCUUAACCUU